This 377-nucleotide ribosomal RNA is filed under the name uncultured bacterium. RNAcentral's name for it is "bacterial SSU rRNA". It matches the Rfam family "Bacterial small subunit ribosomal RNA", at positions 338 to 675 of the family's 1533-position model. The record is from RNAcentral.
CCUACGGGAGGCAGCAGUGAGGAAUAUUGGACAAUGGGCGCAAGCCUGAUCCAGCCAUGCCGCGUGCAGGAAGACGCAUCUAUGGUGUGUAAACUGCUUUUGUACGGGAAGAAACACUCCCUCGUGAGGGAGCUUGACGGUACCGUAAGAAUAAGGAUCGGCUAACUCCGUGCCAGCAGCCGCGGUAAUACGGAGGAUCCAAGCGUUAUCCGGAAUCAUUGGGUUUAAAGGGUCCGUAGGCGGUUUAAUAAGUCAGUGGUGAAAAAGGCCCCCAAUUCGGCUUUCAAACCGGGAAUUGGAAACGGGCCCCAAUUUGGAUAACCGGUUUAGGAACCUUUGGAAUUUUACCNGGGAAGUAAACCUUGGAAAUAAUGUAA